UAACCUCUUUUGGGAGAGAUCGGUAUAACACCGACGCCGAAGGCGCAAUUCGCUCGGAAUCGCUCAGGCAAAUGGACCAUAAGAGAAUU
Molecule: regulatory RNA element, 89 nt
Organism: Cycloclasticus sp. P1
Lineage: Bacteria; Pseudomonadati; Pseudomonadota; Gammaproteobacteria; Thiotrichales; Piscirickettsiaceae
Rfam family: Glycine riboswitch aptamer
About the family: This family represents the bacterial glycine riboswitch. Glycine riboswitches usually consist of two metabolite-binding aptamers domains with similar structures in tandem.
Source: Rfam